CUCAGUAAGUUUAAAUUGUUGAAACUCCUGAAUUGGAUGAUGCUACUUGCCUACUCAAGUCAUUAUACAUAUGUAGUAGUCUUGAGCCUACAAUCUGUAGGUGAUCAAAGAAAAUAUUAACCUAAAUGAUGCAAUUAUUGGUGGAGAGAAAAAUUGAAGAUGGUGUUCACAUGUGAUGCUAGCAGUAUUUGAGUAAUACCACCAGCCAUGGAGUAUAAUGGUAUGGGGUGAGCAUUGCUAUAUGCCAACUCAAGUUUACCAUGCCAAUUAUGUUUUAAUUUGAUUGGUAUGAGCAUUAUUGUCAAUGAAAAAGGAUGUGGGUUCAAGUGCACCUCCUAUUUAUGGGUUGAGAAGGGGCUAUGAGUAAUUCUAGGCAUUGUCUCAAAAGAACAAAUAUAAUUAUUUACUUGGAAUGCAAAUCAAUCCGAUAAUUGAGAGUGGAACUAUGAAAUUUUGGUUAUAAAAUAUAAAAAUUUAAAUAUAAUUCAUGUAAUAUCCCGAAAUAGGGCCUAAAUGGAAUAGUGGUUGUGAAACCACAAAUCCGAGGUAGAAAAAAUUAUUUUAUUAUUAUUUUGAGGUUCAUGGUAUGACUGCAUGAUUGUGUAAAAAUUUCGUGAUGAAAUUCUAUCCAUAAAGUGCUUAAGUUGAGGUUAGGGACUAAAUCGAAUAAUUUGCAAAACUUGCAUUCUAGAAGUUUUUAGUAUGAAAUUACUUUGGAAUAUUAAUUAGAAGGGUUUAAAUAAAAAUUUGACCAAUUUUAAGUUCAUGGACAAAAAUUAGGACAUGGAAGGAAUUUUUGAAAGUUUAGUAAGGAGGGGUAAUUUGGUCAUUUGGAUAUUAAAUGAAUUAAAAAGGGAAAAAUAACACAAAAAUGGUCAUCUUCUCAAUUAGUUUCUGCCGAUUUUUGCUCUCCUCCAUAGCUGGAGUUUCUUCAACUUUCAAGCUUCAUAGUAAGUGAUUCCAAGCCCCAUUUUUAAUGAUCUUUAUGUUUUUGGAGUCCCGGUAACUUGAUUAAGCUUAUUCUAGCAAUAAUUCAACCUAGGGUUCAUAUUUGGAAAAAUACCCAUGGCUGAAAUUUGUGUAUUUUGGUGUUUUAUGAUAGAAUAUGAGGUUUUAAAUUAUGUUAAACAACUUAUGCUACUCGGUUUUAAGUGAAAACGAGUAAAAUGGCUUAAAUUGGAAAAAAAAUACCAAUAGUCAUAAGUAUAUGUUAGAGUGUGAUUUUGAUAUUGCCAUAGAAGGGAAAAAUGAUCAGCAUGUCAUAAAACAUAAGAAAAUAGGAUGAAGUUUAAUUUACGAGCAUUGGGGCAAAAGUGCAAAUAUGUGAAAGUUUAGGGGUAAAAAUAUAAUUUUACCAAAGUUUGGGUCAAGGACUGUUUUAAUAAAUUUGAAUAUUAAAUAAGUUAAAAUUGCUAUUAUAGAUCAAGAAGAACGAAAUUCGGGAGUAGAUCGGGGAAAAGAAAAAGUAAAUGAUUAAAUUGUAAAGUUUAGUCACAUUUUGUAUCAAGGUAAGUUACAGUAAAUAAAUGCAAUAUUCUUUUAUUUUACAUUAUUAUUGUCAAUUUCCAGCAUUUAUAUAUUUAUGUUAUGAAAAUAUUUAAAUUCGAAUUUAAGGUGAAGUGACAGAGGAAAAGUGUUAGAAAGCCCCGGUUGAACCCUAUGAAUGUUAGGAUAUUAGGGUUGACAGGACAGAACAGAAAUGAGCCAUGUAAGUCCAUAUUAGAAAUAUGGCUUUGGAGACAGGAUUGAGCCAUGUAAGUCCAUAUUAUAUAUGGCAUUGGAGACAUGAAUAAUUCAUGUAAGUCCAUGUCAAAGACAUGGCAUUGGCAGGAUAUUGAUAGACAGGAACGACCCUAGUAUCCUUAGUAUUCCGAGUGGUUCAACGGGUCAGGAUACUAGUUAAAUUACAGUGAAUUAACAGCAAAGGAAAAGUAGAUUAUACUUAUGAAAAAGGAAAGGUCAGGUAAGAAUGAAGGUAAGGGAAUAAAGAAGAAGAUAGAAAUUGAGAAGUAAAGAAAUUUAUGAUGUUAGAUGAUAUUAUGCAUAAUUAUCCAUUAUGUUGAAUGUUGUGAUUUAUUUGCUUGUAAGCUUACUAAGCCUAGUGCUUAAUCUCUUUAUUUUCUUCUUCUUAUAGUACUUAUCUAGUCACCCGGGGAUCGAAGGAAACGUCGGAGGCUGAUCACACUAUCAAAGAAAUAACUCGGUAUAAUUAGACGUUUUGUUUUGGGUAUGGCAUGUAUAGAAACUUAGCUACUUUUGGUAUAAUAUGAACAAUGAAUGAUGUGUAAAUACUUGCUAGUGAUUAGCUAAUAAAAUAGCCGAUGAUAUACAUGUUUAAUAAUAUGUAUGAUUGAAUGGUGAUUAUCACAUGAAAAUUAUGAAAAAUGUGAAAGUAACC
This 2398-nucleotide long non-coding RNA is filed under the name Gossypium barbadense (sea-island cotton). RNAcentral describes it as "long non-coding RNA (GBAR_LNC003390)". Lineage: Eukaryota; Viridiplantae; Streptophyta; Magnoliopsida; Malvales; Malvaceae. The record is from RNAcentral.